Molecule: long non-coding RNA, 1465 nt
Filed under: Populus tremula
Lineage: Eukaryota; Viridiplantae; Streptophyta; Magnoliopsida; Malpighiales; Salicaceae
Description: long non-coding RNA (PTRE_LNC002067)
Source: RNAcentral
AGAGCUUGAGAGAAACAAAGAGAAGAAGCUGGAAAUUGGAAAAGGAGGACAUGAUUUUUGUAAAUUUUUGCAAGAAUUCAUUGAAAUAAGUUAAAGUAGCAAAGGUAAGCAACAUACCCUUUAGUAAUUUCGUUUUUCUCUCUUGUUCUUGCAUGAGGAGAAGAAAACCUCCAAGUUUAAAAUUCUAGGGUUCAUGUAAAUAUUUUAGGGGAGUAAUUGUUCAUGUGAAUUUCGAGAUUAAUUGCAUGAUAAUGGCUUGAUUUGCUGAUAAAUAAAAGGAAUAAAUUGAUUUGAAACUAUGGGUUUUGGGAUUGCAACAGGGCAGGCACUUCGGCAGCCAUAGUUUGACUUUCCACCGUUGGAUUAGAUUUCUUUUUGGAUAUGUUAUUAUACUCAAUGUCACCUACAUUCUGACUGGAGGGAUUGUAAAUAUCAGAUUUGGUUUGAGGGCUGUCACCGGAGCAACAUUUCUGGAAAAUCACCCUUCAAGACAGCCUUGUUCGUCAGCCGUUAUAUCAUUGUUUUCACCGUUGGAUUGAUCUAGAUUUUGGAUAUGUUGUUCAUCCCGAUGUUAUAUAAAUUAUGAACGGUUUAGAUCGGAAAAGAACACUCCUGCCAGAAAUUGUGCUUCCCAAACAGCAGGUCUCCAAAUUUCAGGUCAGUCCGGUAUUGUUCUGAUAUCAGGAGUUUUAACCGUUGGAUGUAUGUUAAUUUUGGAUAUGUUAUUCUAAUGAUGAUGAUGUAUAGUUCCACCGUUUGGAUUUAUUGAAUUCUAAAUUUACAGAAUGAUGUUUUAAGUUUGGUUUGAGAAAUAUUGAAUGAAAAUAUGAGGUUUAGCAUAAAAAGUAUGUAUUGGGACUAAGGAUAAUGGCAAUGGGUUUAAUGAUGAUGAUUGUGUUUGUGUUAUGUUUGAGUCAUGUUUGAUGUGUUGAUAAGUGAUGGUAUAGUUAAAUUCUAUAAAGAAUAGUGAUUGACUAAUACUUUGGUUGUGUUAGAAUGGGAAAUCAUGUUGUAAGUUGAAUUAUGAUAUAAGGAAUCAUUUUGAGUGUGCUUUUGGAAAAAUAUGGCAUGUGUAGUCAUUGAUGAAAUUUAAGUUAAAUUACAUAGUUUGGUGAUAGAUUAAAUGUCUUGGGACAAAAGAAAAUCGGUGACGAAAAGUCAUGCCCUUUGGACAUUGAAGAUCAUUGAUGAAGAAUUGAAUUAAAUGGGAGUUUAAUGUUAGUGUAAAUAAAUUCUAAUGUAAAUGAAUUUAAAUGACAAGUAAGAAAAUAAAUACAUUCAUGGAAAUUGUUUAGGGAAGUAUUUGAUUUUGUGAAUUUAUGAAUGUUAUGAAUAAAUCGGGAAGAUUCAAUAAUGAUUCAGGAUGUUAUAUUAAAAAUGUAGGAGAAGCAUUCACUCGACUUCUUAGGAGCUCAUAUAGUAGGAGCUUAAGGAGGGACCGCAAGAGGGGCACAACAACAACAAG